Molecule: ribosomal RNA, 448 nt
Filed under: uncultured bacterium
Lineage: Bacteria
Description: partial 16S ribosomal RNA
Rfam family: Bacterial small subunit ribosomal RNA
Source: RNAcentral
AGCGAACGCUGGCGGCAGGCUUAACACAUGCAAGUCGAGCGCCCCGCAAGGGGAGCGGCAGACGGGUGAGUAACACGUGGGAACGUACCCUUCAGUUCGGAACAACCCAGGGAAACUUGGGCUAAUACCGGAUACGUCCGUAAGGAGAAAGAUUUAUCGCUGAAGGAUCGGCCCGCGUCUGAUUAGCUAGUUGGUGAGGUAAUGGCUCACCAAGGCUACGAUCAGUAGCUGGUCUGAGAGGAUGAUCAGCCACAUUGGGACUGAGACACGGCCCAAACUCCUACGGGAGGCAGCAGUGGGGAAUAUUGGACAAUGGGGGCAACCCUGAUCCAGCCAUGCCGCGUGAGUGAUGAAGGCCCUAGGGUUGUAAAGCUCUUUUAGCAGGGAAGAUAAUGACGGUACCUGCAGAAAAAGCCCCGGCUAACUUCGUGCCAGCCGCCCGCCGUAA